RNAcentral lists this ribosomal RNA (487 nucleotides) under uncultured bacterium. RNAcentral describes it as "bacterial SSU rRNA". It matches the Rfam family "Bacterial small subunit ribosomal RNA", at positions 21 to 507 of the family's 1533-position model. The record is from RNAcentral.
GGCUCAGAUUGAACGCUGGCGCAUGCCUUACACAUGACAAGUCGAACGGUAACGCGGGGCAACCUGGCGACGAGUGGCGAACGGUGAGUAAUAUAUCGGAACGUGCCCAAUAGUGGGGGAUAGCCCGGCGAAAGCCGGAUUAAUACCGCAUACGACCUGAGGGUGAAAGCGGGGAUCGCAAGACCUCGCGCUAUUGGAGCGGCCGAUAUCAGAUUAGCUAGUUGGUGAGGUAAAGGCUUACCAAGGCGACGAUCCGUAGCUGGUCUGAGAGGAUGAUCAGCCACACUGGGACUGAGACACGGCCCAGACUCCUACGGGAGGCAGCAGUGGGGAAUUUUGGACAAUGGGGGCAACCCUGAUCCAGCCAUGCCGCGUGCAGGAUGAAGGCCUUCGGGUUGUAAACUGCUUUUGUACGGAACGAAACGGUGAGCUCUAAUACAGUUUGCUAAUGACGGUACCGUAAGAAUAAGCACCGGCUAACUACGUG